Long non-coding RNA from Helianthus annuus (common sunflower), 1489 nucleotides. RefSeq lists it as uncharacterized. The transcript has 3 exons. NCBI's taxonomy places the organism in Eukaryota, Viridiplantae, Streptophyta, Magnoliopsida, Asterales, Asteraceae. The record is from RefSeq and is a predicted model, not a curated record.
UUUAACAAUCUGCCACACCCAACCCAAGCCCAACCCACGCCCCGCCAUACCCCAGGGACACGUAACCAGGACGUGUCAACAAAUGCCCCAACCCAAGCCCCACCAUACCCCAUGGUCUUAUAUGUUCUUUACUUUGACCCGAAUCAACGGUGACUUCAGUAAAAAGCAUAAAAGAUAGACCGAUUUCAGGGGCGUUGACCGAAUAUGAGUUGAAACAGUUUUCGGGUUUGUCUUGUACACCACCAAGGAAGUCACCUGGCAAAAGCCCUGAUGAUAUGCCAAUAAAUGGUAGUGUUGGAAGCUACUGGAGCCACACGAGCUCAGCACAAUUUUCGAGCCCAUGUUCAUCGUAUAAAGGCAUACCGAAUGCCACCAGCAAGUACAGAGAGGAGGCAAGACGGGCUCGUCAGGUAACGGGUUAGAAUUGGCUUGGAUUGAAAUUAGUCAUUUUUGUUGAGUUCGAAACGGGUUGGUUCGGGCUGGGUUGCUCUGUAGCCUGCUUGUUUGUCCUUUUCUACCAUUUGUCGGAUAUUUACCCAUGGAGUAUACCCGUUAAUUUAUUAAAAAGUCACCCGUUAGUAAUUAGAUGUUCAGAUACAUCUCUUACUAUUUUAUUUUUUUAUAUUAUUAUUAUUAUUACUAAAGGAAAUUAGAAGUAUAAGAAGUAUGGAUUUUGGAGGUUAUUCAUCGGAUUCGGGUUCGUUUGCCAUCCGUAGACUGUUAUUUGAUCUUUUUAUGCAUCUUGUAUGAAUCUAGGGGAAAGCCAACCACUAAAAGGGGCUAUUAUGCGGUUACGGGUGGCAUUAUAUAUGGCACAAGCAUUAGGGCGAUCACUGUACCAUGAUCUGAACGCGUAUUUGAUCAGGAAUAUAAUCCCUUUGCAAAUGAAUUGCGGAGCCCACGAGCGCCCGGUCAAUGUCGUUUGUAAAUGAAUUUACAUUUUUCCCGCUUGCAAAUGAAUCGUUGACUCAUGAUUACUAAUUUAAUCCUCAUUGCGGAGCCCACGAGCGCCCGGUCAAUGUCGUUUGUCGGGACCCACGAGUAUUUAGCUCCGGAGAUCAUCAAAGGCGAAGGUCAUGGCAGCGCGGUUGAGUGGACGUUCGGGAUAUUUCUUUACGAGCUUUUGUUCGGGAAAACUCCGUUCAAGGGGAACGGUAACCGGGCCACUUUGUUUAACGUUGUCGGGCAACCGUUGAGGUUUCCCAUUCGCCUUGGGUUAGUUUUGCGGUGAGGGAUUUGAUCAGGGGGUUACUUGUGAAAGAGCCGCAGCAUCGGCUGGCGUAUAAACGAGGGGCAACCGAGAUCAAACAGCACCCUUUUUUUCAGAGCGUGAUCCGCUGCGCUACUCUGCUGGAUGUACCGAAACCGGCACCGGAAAUGGUGGGAGUAGAUGUGAAACCUUCCGGUAACUACUUAGAGAUUGAUUUCUUUUAGUGUUGUCAAUUUCAAAGGAACUUGAACCUAUGUUUUUCUUUUUUCUUAUGUUUAU